Molecule: small RNA, 28 nt
Filed under: Bombyx mori (domestic silkworm)
Lineage: Eukaryota; Metazoa; Arthropoda; Insecta; Lepidoptera; Bombycidae
Description: piRNA piR-bmo-2248353
Source: RNAcentral
UUCCUCAUUACUGAGGGUCGUGGUCAUG